UGAAACUAGAUACAAGCGAGCGGCGGACGGGUGAGUAACACGUGGGUAACCUGCCCAAGAGACUGGGAUAACACCUGGAAACAGAUGCUAAUACCGGAUAACAACACUAGACGCAUGUCUAGAGUUUGAAAGAUGGUUCUGCUAUCACUCUUGGAUGGACCUGCGGUGCAUUAGCUAGUUGGUAAGGUAACGGCUUACCAAGGCAAUGAUGCAUAGCCGAGUUGAGAGACUGAUCGGCCACAUUGGGACUGAGACACGGCCCAAACUCCUACGGGAGGCAGCAGUAGGGAAUCUUCCACAAUGGACGAAAGUCUGAUGGAGCAACGCCGCGUGAGUGAAGAAGGGUUUCGGCUCGUAAAGCUCUGUUGGUAGUGAAGAAAGAUAGAGGUAGUAACUGGCCUUUAUUUGACGGUAAUUACUUAGAAAGUCACGGCUAACUACGUGCCAGCAGCCGCGGUAAUACGUAGGUGGCAAGCGUUGUCCGGAUUUAUUGGGCGUAAAGCGAGUGCAGGCGGUUCAAUAAGUCUGAUGUGAAAGCCUUCGGCUCAACCGGAGAAUUGCAUCAGAAACUGUUGAACUUGAGUGCAGAAGAGGAGAGUGGAACUCCAUGUGUAGCGGUGGAAUGCGUAGAUAUAUGGAAGAACACCAGUGGCGAAGGCGGCUCUCUGGUCUGCAACUGACGCUGAGGCUCGAAAGCAUGGGUAGCGAACAGGAUUAGAUACCCCUGGUAGUCCAUGCCCGUAAACGAUGAAGUGCUAAGUGUUGGGAGGUUU
This 773-nucleotide ribosomal RNA is filed under the name uncultured bacterium. Its description in RNAcentral is "bacterial SSU rRNA". It matches the Rfam family "Bacterial small subunit ribosomal RNA", at positions 74 to 833 of the family's 1533-position model. The record is from RNAcentral.